GACGAACCGUGCGAACGUUAUUCGGAAUCAUUGGGCUUAAAGGGCGCGUAGACGGACGGCCGCGUCGAGUGCUGAAAUCCCCCGGCUCAACCGGGGAACGGGCCUCGAAACGGGUCGUCUCGAGUGGAGGAGGGGGACCUGGAACGUCCGGUGGAGCGGUGAAAUGCGUUGAGAUCGGACGGAACGCCGACGGCGAAAGCAAGGUCCUGGACUCCGACUGACGUUGAGGCGCGAAAGCCAGGGGAGCGAACGGG
Molecule: ribosomal RNA, 254 nt
Filed under: uncultured Singulisphaera sp.
Lineage: Bacteria; Pseudomonadati; Planctomycetota; Planctomycetia; Isosphaerales; Isosphaeraceae
Description: partial 16S ribosomal RNA
Rfam family: Bacterial small subunit ribosomal RNA
Source: RNAcentral